Molecule: unclassified non-coding RNA, 200 nt
Filed under: Leotiomycetes sp.
Lineage: Eukaryota; Fungi; Ascomycota; Leotiomycetes
Description: partial internal transcribed spacer 2
Source: RNAcentral
UUAAGUUCAGCGGGUAUCCCUACCUGAUCCGAGGUCAACCUGUGUACGAUGGGGGGUUGCUGGCCAGCCACCCGCCGGGGUCAGGCGCGAGGAGUGUGACUACGCGCAGACGCCGGCGGGCACCGCCACUGACUUUGAGGGCCCCGGUGCCGGGCGCCCCAAGACCAAGCGCGAGCUUGAGAGGUUGCAAUGACGCUCGA